This 440-nucleotide ribosomal RNA is filed under the name uncultured bacterium. Its description in RNAcentral is "partial 16S ribosomal RNA". It matches the Rfam family "Bacterial small subunit ribosomal RNA", at positions 338 to 795 of the family's 1533-position model. The record is from RNAcentral.
CCUACGGGUGGCAGCAGUAGGGAAUAUUGCUCAAUGGGGGAAACCCUGAAGCAGCAACGCCGCGUGGAGGAUGAAGGUUUUCGGAUUGUAAACUCCUUUUGUUAGAGAAGAUAAUGACGGUAUCUAACGAAUAAGCACCGGCUAACUCCGUGCCAGCAGCCGCGGUAAUACGGAGGGUGCAAGCGUUACGCGGAAUCACUGGGCGUAAAGAGCGCGUAGGCGGGAUAGCAAGUCAGAUGUGAAAUCCUAUGGCUUAACCAGAGAACUGCAUUUGAUACUGUGAGUAUAGAGGAUGGGAGAGGUAGGUGGAAUUCCUGGUGUAGGGGUGAAAUGCGUAGAGAUCAAGAGGAAUACUCAUUGCGAAGGCGACCUGCUGGAACAUAACUGACGCUGAUGCGCGAAAGCGUGGGGAGCAAACAGGAUUAGAUACCCGGGUAGUC